UGCUCAUUGUGUGAAUAUUAUUAGAAUGAAUAUAAUAAAGAGUCUGGUGUAGAGCUGCUCUAUAUGAGAAGAGCCCUGAGAUGCGCGAUGAUUCAGCUCUACAUUAAUGAAACUGACCUGACGCCUUUGUAAAAAGUGGAUAUUUGUGCUGAGAAUGUUGACCAUUUUAAAAAUGUAAUUUAGUGUCAGAGGCAGAGCCAGUAGUGAUGAGGGGAUUACUGCUGUCAGUAUGAAGGAACAGGUGAGCUGUUGGAACAGAGUGAACAAGCAAGCAUUAGUUCCAAUACUUUCUAUGCCCAAACGAUAGCAGUGACCCAUUUUAUUUUUAAUCAUGAAAAGAUAGUAAAUACACAAAGCCCACGAUUGAAAGGGAAUAGGAUGAGAUAAAAACAUUUACUUUCAUUACUGAUGUUGUCCAGUUUUAAUGAAGUUCAUGCUACUUAUAAAAUGAUGAAAGUGAAUAAAAUGUAUUUGUGGGAUCUGUGUUUGAUUUCUGUCUUUUCUCCUGUCAUCCAGAUGUUCAGAGGGAGCUGAUGCCACAUUUGGUCCAGCCGCUGGAAGUUCUCUGACUGAAGAUGGUCCUCUCACAGGAUUUAAGGUUCAGACGCUCAGGAAAAAACUCCACCAACUUCCAACAGGGAUGCUUUAGGUUUAUUAAAUGUUGCUAUGAAGCAUGAAGAUUAAACUCUCCACAAGGAUCCAAAAUAAGUUGGACUUCUACAUGAGAGCUUUAAUUAUUCUUCAUCUACUUCCUGAAAAGUUUGGUCAAUAAAAAAGACAAAAACUAAUAUUUUCAGAUGAACUAAAGACAGACUUUGUGAUAUUUCUGCUCACAGGUUGUGUUGUUGUAAACUUACUCUUUCAAAUAAAUAGCCGCCUAACCCCCUGGAAACCAGUGUUUGUUUUGUUUUUGUGUUGCUCCUCGGCGACCCUAGACAGCCGGGUUUUAAUGUUUUUUGAGCAACACACCAUACUAUGACGUUUUUUACAGUGAAGGCUCUACUAUGAAACCAGUUUGACAUGUUCAGGUGUUCUUUGUGUGAAAACUCAAGAGAUUUCAGGUAUCAGAAGGUGGUUUUCAACUUUCUUUGUGUGGCAGGACGGCCCAGUCCGUCUCCACUCAUGUCGUAUAUUGGAUCAGGUGGUAUAGUUUUCAGUUGCUCCCAGUCAUUGAAUGCAGCUGGGAGCAAUCAUCCAAUCGCAUCUUGAUUACUGGGCGGUGCUAUAGUGCGUUAUAUGUGUGAGAGGGCUGUGCAUUUUCCACAUGCGUCCUCUACCUGGAGCUGGGGUGUUUACUCAGCCGUGCGGUUUGCCGUGGCAGUCUCAAGAUGCUGGCGGAGUAUUUUUCUACCGACCUGUCAGGUAUGUUCCAACACAGUCACUGCGUCUCCCAGCAAUGUUUGUGCUGUGUCUGAUCUGCUUGUUGCUUUCAGUAGAAUUCGGCUGGUCCCUUGGCCGAACCCUACUGAGGCUGGGAGCUGGGUGUGUGUGGCCUUGGAGCUGGGCGUAACCUAUGCAUCGCGUUGGAUUUUUGAGUGAUCAUGUGGGUUCUCUGCGGCUGUUUCCCCCCGAUGCCUGAGGAGCUGCAGUUUUGACGAGCCGCUCUACGUCUGAAGCAAGCUGCUGCUGUUCUGUCUCCGUGUUCAUUGCAGCAAGUCCUCUGCUCUUUGGGAAUUGCUGCAUUGGUCUUUUUAUGGUGUUUUAAGGACAAUCCUGGUGUGCGUGUGCCCAUCGCCUGGCACGCCCAUUGUUUAAAAAUUAUUAGCAUUAGAAUUACUUUUUACUGAGUUUGUAAUCUGUUUAGUUUCUAUUUUUGUGAUUGUUUAGUUUUGCAAUUUUGUUGGGUUCUGUGUGAUUGUUUCUUUUGCUGUUUUGAUUUGUUUAGGUGAGCAGGUGGCCUGAUUGGCUUUGGUGGUGACCUCCAGAGUUUAGUAUCCUAUAAAGACCCCUUGCAGACCUGGUGCAGGAGCUCCUCCACUUGAAUUUAAUGGGUGAGCCAGUGUCUGACGACUGGGGUGUCGGAGUUCCCUGAACAAGAACAGAAAGCACUUAGGAAAUUGCAUGUCUCGGCUUUGGCCGCAUCAAUGGGUUCGCUUUGAGAAGGCGAUGGCGGCUGUUUGGGGCUACAGUCACCACCUGCUGCCUGCCGGACACGGCCUCUUGCUGUUUGGCUGCAGCAGAUGGUGUGCUGUCCUGUUGCUGCUGGCCUGGUUCGGCAUGUUGGGUCUUGAAGUAAUCCUUCAAUGCGUUAUCAGGCACUACUUUGACAUACUGCACUGUCCUGCUAACAGGCUCAGGGCUUCUCCGGUAUAUCAGCAGGAACUGUGAUGCGCAACAACUGCUCUGGAGAACGCGGAAAUCAGUAUUAAGUACAGCUAUGGCCAUAAGUUUGGACACAAGUACCAUGAAGCUUAGAAAUGCCACAAAAUUGUCACUUACAAUAUAAAUACCAGUCAUAGCCAUCAACCAAAAUGAAAUGCAUUUCAUUUUGGUUAUUGCUAUGACUGGUAUUUAUAUUGUGACAAUUUCGUGGUAUUUUCUAAGCUUCACAAGCAUCAUGGUACUUGUGUCCAAACUUAUGGCCAUAGCUGUAGACCAAACAUUUAGCCGCAGUAGCAAAGCAAGUUCCACCUGGUCGCUGUCACAGCUGCCAUAUAAUCUGCUUUACUACAACUGACAGCCAACAGCACAUCAAGAAGGCAUAUUUAGUGUAAUGUGCUUGCAAUAUCACACCUUGGCCAGGUAAACGGGCUUUGUUUUGAACCAGGUCUGCGUGUGCAGCUGCCUAAUUAAGUAUGCAUACGUCAUGUGAAAGGAGUCUAUAGUGUGGUGUCAGGGUAGUUCUAGAGAUCUCUGUUCCUGUGGCUAACCAUAUUUCUUUCUAUGGACAGAGCUGUUGGGCUGGCUGAUUCCCCUCCCGAGGUGGUGGUGGUCCCCCUCACUCUGUACAGUAGAGCACUUGGGUGUCCAUUAGUUUGCUUUUUUUUUUUUUUUGCAUGUGUGGUGUCACAUCCAGACCCUCUACCUGCCUAGUCAGUCAUUCCGGUCUGGUAAGCCCUGACAUCUGUAUAUAGAUGUUCAGUGGCUGCACCCUGGAGGUCCUAACAGAUUACCUCUACUUGGCCACUUAUUGAGCCAUCUCAUGGCACCGCCACUAAGGUUUUUAUAUUGAAACAUUGUUGUUUUAACAGACAAAAUAUAUUGUAAAUGAAUUCCAUUUUUGUGUGUAUUUGCGUCAUGUCUCUCUCGUGUCAUACGUAUGUGACCUUUCCCUGUAUUGGAGUGGUGGUGGUUCCCUCUAAUCGGAUUUCCUGGCGGUGAAAUUCCCCCAGGUGGCGUUGUCAGUCAUUUGGUAAUCAGCCAGAGUACAUUAACCCUCGUAGCAUUGCCACAUUUGAUAACUUUCUGAUUCAACUUUAAACUAAAUUUACUUCACUAACCCAGUCCUCUGGACUUCCAGUAAGCUAUGUUCCUAGUGGCUGUCAGGUGUUAUCAGGAACACCUGAUCAACUUAGUAUCUUCCUGCUUUAUGGCUGCAGUCAAACACUUCCUCUGCUUCUCUUUACUGUUUGGCUCCAAUGCUUUAGUUUGUUCUUUAGGCGUUGGCUUGCAGCUUCCAGCAGUAAAAUCAACUUUAGUGUGUUUUAGGGCUUUGUACUGGAUAGUUGUCUGGCUAAAUGUGGUUCUUUAGCCACAGAUGGUGCUAACAUGUGCAGUGAUUAGUGGAUUUGGUGCAGCUGAGUUGUCUUUUUCUUGGCUGUAGUGAGUCUUUAGAGCUUUUUGGUCAGACGUGUUCUUUGUGAACCAACGUUGGUUGUCCAGAAGGUAAGAGUUCCUGUCCUGCUUCUCCGUUUAAAGAGGUUCUUUGGUUGGCUGCAGGAGACUUUAGCGUUUGAAUUGUGCUAGUUUGGUUUUUGUACGGGUUCAUUUAGGCGACUAUCUUGAGGCCCCUCCAUGUGGUUUAGUGAGGUUUUCUGUAACAGUUCUACAAAGCAACCUGCAGCAGAAGAGACUUGGAGAGUUUCUAGGAAGUUCUGGAAACCAGACUUUGGAGCAGCAGAGACCUUUGUCAUUUGUAAGCGUCUGUAGUUCUUUGGUCUGAAAGCACAAGAAGAGUCAACUCGCAAAAGGAGAUAUUAUUCUGUCGCUCUGCCUCUUCCAGUUUCCUUACACUAAAUGUUUUUAUUUUAAAUGAUUUACCAUGUGAGCCCAAGAAGACUUCAAUAAACUCCCUCCAUCCCCUGGACACAACAAAUUUUAUUACCAUGUUAAAUCUUUUUUUGUGUGUUUUAAUCAUUUUCUUUCUUUGCUUGUGUAGUUUUGUUGUCUGUGUGAAGGUUGCUAAACAAAUAAAGUUGAAUUGAUCAACUGGCUAACUCA
This is a long non-coding RNA of Acanthochromis polyacanthus (spiny chromis), 4380 nucleotides long. RefSeq lists it as uncharacterized. Lineage: Eukaryota; Metazoa; Chordata; Actinopteri; Pomacentridae. The transcript is spliced from 2 exons. The record is from RefSeq and is a predicted model, not a curated record.